RNAcentral lists this unclassified non-coding RNA (300 nucleotides) under Chaetothyriales sp. Its description in RNAcentral is "partial contains small subunit ribosomal RNA and internal transcribed spacer 1". The record is from RNAcentral. Lineage: Eukaryota; Fungi; Ascomycota; Eurotiomycetes; Chaetothyriales.
AAGUCGUAACAAGGUUUUGCCCACCGAAGCCUGGCACGGCGACUUAAUAAAUAAUCGUGGAGUCCUUCACGGGGGACAACACCGCUGAAAUGCUGUCAUCACUCCGGUGUAUCAGCAGUCCACAUUUGGGGCUCACAGAUCAAGCCGCGGUGGUCUAAUUAUACUGAUUAACUAGAUUGUAAUAUGAUCGGCCUCGACUUGGCUGUCGAGUUUAUGUGUUCCGUAGGUGAACCUGCGGAAGGAUCAUUAAAGAGUUAGGGUCUUCCGGGCCCGACCUCCAACCCUUUGUUUAACUACCAU